GAUGAACGCUGGCGGCGUGCCUAAUACAUGCCAGUCGAGCGAACGGACGAGAAGCUUGCUUCUCUGAUGUUAGCGGCGGACGGGUGAGUAACACGUGGAUAACCUACCUAUAAGACUGGGAUAACUUCGGGAAACCGUAGCUAAUACCGGAUAAUAUUUUGAACCGCAUGGUUCAAAAGUGAAAGACGGUCUUGCUGUCACUUAUAGAUGGAUCCGCGCUGCAUUAGCUAGUUGGUAAGUUAACGGCUUACCAAGGCAACGAUGCAUAGCCGACCUGAGAGGGUGAUAGGCCACACUGGAACUGAGACACGGUCCAGACUCCUACGGGAGGCAGCAGUAGGGAAUCUUCCGCAAUGGGCGAAAGCCUGACGGAGCAACGCCGCGUGAGUGAUGAAGGUCUUCGGAUCGUAAAACUCUGUUAUUAGGGAAGAACAUAUGUGUAAGUAACUGUGCCCAUCUUGACGGUACCUAAUCAGAAAGCCCCGGCUAACUACGUG
This 497-nucleotide ribosomal RNA is filed under the name uncultured bacterium. RNAcentral describes it as "partial 16S ribosomal RNA". It matches the Rfam family "Bacterial small subunit ribosomal RNA", at positions 28 to 507 of the family's 1533-position model. The record is from RNAcentral.